GGUGGAAUCGUCUAAGGGCUAGGACACAUGCCUCUCACGCAUGUAAUCGGGGUUCGAAUCCCCGCUCCACUA
RNAcentral lists this transfer RNA (72 nucleotides) under Bacteroidales bacterium. RNAcentral describes it as "tRNA-Glu". It matches the Rfam family "tRNA". Rfam says of the family: Transfer RNA (tRNA) molecules are approximately 80 nucleotides in length. Their secondary structure includes four short double-helical elements and three loops (D, anti-codon, and T loops). Lineage: Bacteria; Pseudomonadati; Bacteroidota; Bacteroidia; Bacteroidales. RNAcentral also lists the same sequence under 2 other names. The record is from RNAcentral.